RNAcentral lists this ribosomal RNA (253 nucleotides) under uncultured bacterium. RNAcentral's name for it is "partial 16S ribosomal RNA". It matches the Rfam family "Bacterial small subunit ribosomal RNA", at positions 524 to 776 of the family's 1533-position model. The record is from RNAcentral.
UACGUAGGGUGCAAGCGUUGUCCGGAAUUAUUGGGCGUAAAGAGCUCGUAGGUGGUUUGUCGCGUCGCCUGUGAAAACCUGGGGCUCAACCCCGGGCCUGCAGACGAUACGGGCAGACUAGAAUUCGGUAGGGGAGACUGGAAUUCCUGGUGUAGCGGUGAAAUGCGCAGAUAUCAGGAGGAACACCGGUGGCGAAGGCGGGUCUCUGGACAUUUCCUGACGCUGAGGCACGAAAGCCAGGGGAGCAAACGGG